RNA transcript from Cucurbita pepo subsp. pepo (vegetable marrow), 1805 nucleotides. It is a transcript of the gene named RNA-binding CRS1 / YhbY (CRM) domain protein, with no coding region annotated. The record is from RefSeq and is a predicted model, not a curated record. Lineage: Eukaryota; Viridiplantae; Streptophyta; Magnoliopsida; Cucurbitales; Cucurbitaceae.
UGCUUUCUAGCGCUGAUUCCAUCUCUUUCUUUCUCGCAUUCAAGCUCUAAAUUUCGUCAUAGAACAUUACUUUUAGAAACUAGGUCAAAUUUGAUUAGGGCAAAAAUACUUGGGUGAAUUCCUCAAAAUUUUCCAUAAUUCGAGCGCUACAAAGGCACAGUUUCAUCUUGAGUUUGCAAAUUUGCCAGUUUAGCAGAUUUUCCCUGAAUCCUCAAUUCCCCCCAUAGCUAGCAAAUUGUUGAUGAUGAACCAGUCCAGCCAUUUUCAACUCUGGGGGUUGUUGUGGAUUCCCCCCCUUUCAUCUUAUUUCUGCAGUGAACGAACAAUCUGCUAGGGAUUGAUUGAUUGAUUGAUUGAUUGAUUUAGGACCAUGUCUCGCGGUCAUGCUCUAUCCAUUGCCAUUUCAAGGGAUUCAUUAUAUGGAUUCAUUUCUAUGAUUAGAAAUGUUUCACGUCUAUCUUUAUUCAACAUAUCCACAUCAUUUGGGCAGUCCUCAUAUGGAAGUUGUGAGUAUCAAAUAAGUAAUUGUAUAUCGAAGUCUCUCCAGGAAUCGACGUCUAUACGCUAUCUGCCUGGCUUCUUUUUCGCUAAGCGAUAUAGUAUGUGUGAGAGCCUUGGUGGGUUUGAAAAAUGGCAAUCUGUUAGGCACUUUAGCAAUGGGGCUGUGGAGCUGAAGACAGACAGCAAUAUUGUCAGGUUUUCUUUUGGUGGGUCUUCUAGUACUAACGGUUCCCCACGGAAACAAAAGAAGGUGGCAAAAGCCAAAUUGUCUAAGAAGGCCAAAUUGAAUGAACUCAGGCUCUAUCGUCUUAAGGCGAAAAAGAAGAAGACGUCUCCCAAUCCAGAAGUUAGGAUCAGAUAUUCCCUUGAAAAGGCCAAAAGGAAAGAAGCGUGGCUGAUUGAGAAGUUGAGGAAAUUCGAGGUUCCAAAAUCUGUUCUUGAAACUUAUGAUCCUGAAAUUCUUACUGAAGAGGAGAAGCACUACUUGAAGCGUACAGGGGAGAAAAAGAAGAACUUUGUUCUGUUGGGGAGGCGAGGAGUCUUUGGUGGAGUUGUUCUUAAUAUGCAUUUGCAUUGGAAGAAGCAUGAAACUGUUAAAGUUAUUUGCAAGCCUUGCAAACCUGGGCAGGUUCAUGAAUAUGCUGAAGAACUUGCUCGGUUGAGUAAAGGCAUUGUGAUUGAUAUUAAACCCAACAACAGCAUAGUCUUUUAUCGGGGAAAGAACUAUGUGCGGCCUGAAGUAAUGUCGCCUCCAGAUACGCUAUCGAAAAACAAGGCCUUGGAAAAAUAUAAGUAUGAACAAUCACUUGAACAUACAAGUCAGUUCAUUGAAAAGUUGGAGAAAGAACUUGAAGAUUUUCAGAAGCAUCUUGCUCAGUUCAAGAGAAAGAAGGAAGAGGCUGCUGUAGAAUUCAUGGUUAACUCAUGACUGAUUAGGAGCGUGCCACCACUUGUCUUGUGCGAUAGGCUAUUUUAAAGCAGUGGCUUAACAUUUUCCACCAUAAAUGAUGACGCUCAAAGAGAUGGUGCACAUAGACCCUUCGACAGAAGUGUGAAUGAUGAAGACAUAAAGGCACACUUAAAAUCCUCACCGAGUUUGGUCAUAGGAUUGCGGUCGAGAAGUUUAUGUUUUUGCGUGGAUGAACGAAAGAUCCUCAUUCAAUUUUGUUAUAUAAUCAUGUAUGACUAUGUGACCAUUUUGUGAGCAUUGUCAUUUAGGACUUCAGAAUUAUUCUUACUUGUUCGGAGCUUUUAUGCUAUUGAUUUGAUUGUUUUACAUUUAAUGUACAAUCAUUUGUGUUCUC